GAGACCCAUGCUGUUAAUUGCUACUUUCAUCUUCAAUGAGAGGCACCUUAACAGGACUGCCCGCGUUAAGUGGGAGGAAGGAGUGGGCGACGGUAGGUCAGUAUGGCCCGAAUCCCUUGGGCUACACGCGGCAUACAAUGGCUGGAACAAUGGGUUGCUACUUCGAAAGGAGGCGCCAAUCCCCUAAAUCCAGCCCUAGUUCGGAUUGAGGGUUGCAACUCACCCUCAUGAAGCUGGAAUCCCUAGUAAUCGCGUGUCAUCAUCGCGCGGUGAAUAC
This 277-nucleotide ribosomal RNA is filed under the name uncultured archaeon. Its description in RNAcentral is "partial 16S rRNA". It matches the Rfam family "Archaeal small subunit ribosomal RNA", at positions 1047 to 1325 of the family's 1478-position model. The record is from RNAcentral.